This is a long non-coding RNA of Manacus vitellinus (golden-collared manakin), 385 nucleotides long. RefSeq lists it as uncharacterized. The transcript is spliced from 4 exons. Lineage: Eukaryota; Metazoa; Chordata; Aves; Passeriformes; Pipridae. The record is from RefSeq and is a predicted model, not a curated record.
UUCCAAUGUAGAUGGAGCCAUGUGACACCCAGAGUCCAUCAUCAGCAACACACCAGUUACGGAAAAGACUCCAAAAGAUCACCAAAAAGAGGACUGGGCAACACUGUGAAUUUCAAGUCUUUGAUGAACCAUCAUUCCAGUAACCCUGCCAGAUACAGAUACCACUGGUCUUAACUAGCACAGCCAGAGCUGAAGUUGCCAAGAACUCUGGAAAAAAAAGGGAGGAAAACAAAGUCAGCCGACUGCAUGCCAAGGAGGAGAAAAACAGGUACCUCUGGAGCCCUCUCCACAUGAUGCUAUGGAGGGAAUUUUUUACCCUGUGGAGAAAUACCAGAGUUUUAAUUCCCUAUGGAGAAAGCCGAAAGAAGCAGCUUCGACUCAACGC